GUUCAACCAAGGAUUCAUGACUCACAUUUCAGGUGGAAAGGGGACACCAAUGAGACCUGGCCCUAUAGAUGCUUACCUUUUCAGUCUGAUUGACGAGGACGCGAAAAGCAUUCAGCCCGGUAACUUUGAGCGCCAUUGGGGAAUAUAUUACUUCGAUGGUACGCCUAAAUACAAGCUUUCUUUAGGUGCAAACAAUGGAGGUGGUUUAGUACCAGCAAGUGGUGUUCGUUACCUGUCUCGUCAGUGGUGCGUGUUGUCACCCUCAGCUAGCCUUGAUGAUCCUCAGCUAGCUGAUAGUGUAGGCUAUGCAUGUUCACAUGCUGAUUGCACCAGCCUCGGGCACGGGACAUCAUGUGCUGAUCUAGAUGCUCGUGGCAACGUUUCGUAUGCAUUCAACAGUUACUAUCAGGAAAACGACCAGCAAUCGAGUGCCUGCAAGUUUCCUAACCUUUCCAUGAUCACAAACACAGAUCCGUCACCAUCGGGCGGAACAUGUAAAUUCAAGAUCAUGAUCCAAGCAACUAGUCCUAGCAGCCAUAAGAACAAUGCAUUUACAACUAAGCCUGUCAAUGUGAUGUUUCUGUUUGUAGUUUCUUUGUUGUUGAGUGUUUUAUAGAACUUGUUGAGUCAUAUUUAUGUAUUUUCCAUCAUGAUUUU
RNAcentral lists this unclassified non-coding RNA (657 nucleotides) under Hevea brasiliensis (rubber tree). The record is from RNAcentral. Lineage: Eukaryota; Viridiplantae; Streptophyta; Magnoliopsida; Malpighiales; Euphorbiaceae.